RNAcentral lists this ribosomal RNA (460 nucleotides) under uncultured bacterium. Its description in RNAcentral is "partial 16S ribosomal RNA". It matches the Rfam family "Bacterial small subunit ribosomal RNA", at positions 338 to 795 of the family's 1533-position model. The record is from RNAcentral.
CCUACGGGAGGCAGCAGUGAGGAAUAUUGGUCAAUGGACGAAAGUCUGAACCAGCCAAGUAGCGUGAAGGAUGACUGCCCUAUGGUUUGUAAACUUCUUUUAUAUGGGAAUAAAAUGUUCCACGUGUGGGAUUUUGUAUGUACCCUAUGAAUAAGGAUCGGCUAACUCCGUGCCAGCAGCCGCGGUAAUACGGAGGAUCCGAGCGUUAUCCGGAUUUAUUGGGUUUAAAGGGAGCGUAGGUGGAUUGUUAAGUCAGUUGUGAAAGUUUGCGGCUCAACCGUAAAAUUGCAGUUGAAACUGGUAGUCUUGAGUACAGUAGAGGUGGGCGGAAUUCGUGGUGUAGCGGUGAAAUGCUUAGAUAUCACGAAGAACUCCGAUUGCGAAGGCAGCUCACUGGACUGCAACUGACACUGAGGCUCGAAAGUGUGGGUAUCAAACAGGAUUAGAUACCCUUGUAGUC